This 717-nucleotide ribosomal RNA is filed under the name uncultured Halomonadaceae bacterium. Its description in RNAcentral is "bacterial SSU rRNA". It matches the Rfam family "Bacterial small subunit ribosomal RNA", at positions 605 to 1321 of the family's 1533-position model. The record is from RNAcentral. Lineage: Bacteria; Pseudomonadati; Pseudomonadota; Gammaproteobacteria; Oceanospirillales; Halomonadaceae.
GGGCUCAACCUGGGAACGGCAUCCGGAACUGUCAGGCUAGAGUGCAGGAGAGGAAGGUAGAAUUCCCGGUGUAGCGGUGAAAUGCGUAGAGAUCGGGAGGAAUACCAGUGGCGAAGGCGGCCUUCUGGACUGACACUGACGCUGAGGUACGAAAGCGUGGGUAGCAAACAGGAUUAGAUACCCUGGUAGUCCACGCCGUAAACGAUGUCGACUAGCCGUUGGGGUCCUCGAGACCUUUGUGGCGCAGUUAACGCGAUAAGUCGACCGCCUGGGGAGUACGGCCGCAAGGUUAAAACUCAAAUGAAUUGACGGGGGCCCGCACAAGCGGUGGAGCAUGUGGUUUAAUUCGAUGCAACGUGAAGAACCUUACCUACUCUUGACAUCCAGUGAACUUUCCAGAGAUGGAUUGGUGCCUUCGGGAACACUGAGACAGGUGCUGCAUGGCUGUCGUCAGCUCGUGUUGUGAAAUGUUGGGUUAAGUCCCGCAACGAGCGCAACCCUUAUCCUUGUUUGCCAGCGAGUAAUGUCGGGAACUCCAGGGAGACUGCCGGUGAUAAACCGGAGGAAGGUGGGGACGACGUCAAGUCAUCAUGGCCCUUACGAGUAGGGCUACACACGUGCUACAAUGGCAGAUACAGAGGGCAGCGACGCUGCGAAGUAGGGCGAAUCCCUUAAAGUCUGUCGUAGUCCGGAUUGGAGUCUGCAACUCGACUCCAU